UAGGGAGUAAGUGAUGAUGUUUACAUUAUUUACUCUCUCUCUGUUCUAAUAUCUAAUAUUAAUGAAUUAUAAUUUUUAUAUUUGUUACUUGAUCAAAAGAAAACAGAUGCACCUACUGUUACUUUGUCACAAAAGCAUGGAUCUGUGGAUAUACCUGUAAGUCAUAAUUGGUUUUAUUAUUUUCAAUUUAUAUUUUAAUAAUAAAGCCUUCAGAAACCCCUGAAGUAUGUGUACCAAAUCUAUUAUUAUUUUUCCCUUUUAAUGUCAAUUUACAACAAUGAAACUCUUAUUUUUCUCACUUUAUAGGAAGUAAGGCAUAAUGUGCAUUAUAACUAUUAUUUACAUUUUGUCUUAUAAUUUUGUCAUUUUUUCUUAUAUCAACAAUUUAUUA
Molecule: long non-coding RNA, 391 nt
Organism: Amphimedon queenslandica
Lineage: Eukaryota; Metazoa; Porifera; Demospongiae; Haplosclerida; Niphatidae
Exons: 5
Source: RefSeq, a predicted model, not a curated record